AAGUCUCGCGUCAUUCUUCACGCGUCGGUGUGUGCACUCUUUUUUCGGUGAUUUCUCCGACCGCGCCUCUUGCCGACGACCUUCCCUGUCUGGCGCGCCUCUAACCAACGUGUUUCCACACCUGAUUUGCACAUUUAUUUUUUUGAUACCUUCUGUUGUCCAGUUUCUUGCUUUCUGCCUCAAUACCUAUUCCUUUAAUUGAAAAAUGACCGAUGGAAAGAAGGAAGCCUCUGAAACAAAGGUUGGAUUUGUUGGUGAUAAUCCCUAUUUACAAAUUAAUCCUAUAAAGUUGGAUGGAACUAAUUAUUUGGCAUGGUCUAGAUCUUGUCUACUGUUCAUUCAGGCUAGAGGACUGCAGGGGUAUAUCACUGGAGAUAGAAAAAAGCCAGAAAGUACUAGUUCUACCUACAGCCAGUGGGAGUCGGAGAACUCUCUUGUUAUGUCAUGGCUCAUCAAUUCUAUGCAACCUCAUAUAGCUCGUGGGUAUUUACUGUUGAAUAGUGCAGCUACCAUUUUGAGUGCAGUUUCUCAUACCUACUGUCACGUUGAGAACGAUGCACAAGUGUAUGAGCUUCGAAAUAAAGUUCAUGGUAUGAAACAGGGUGAGCUAACUAUUGCUCAAUAUUAUGCAGAAUUGAGUGGUCUAUGGCAGGAACUGGACUUUUACCAGGACUUUCAGGCCUCAUGUCCUGAAGAUGCUGUUAAAUUUCAGAAGUUGGUUGAGAAAGAGCGGAUCUAUGAUUUUCUUGCUGGGUUGAAUAUGGAAUAUGAUCAAAUUAGGGUCCAAGUGCUUGGGAAGGAUCCUUUACCUACCUUAAGACAGACAUACUCUUAUGUUCAGCAGGAGGAGAGCAGA
This 856-nucleotide unclassified non-coding RNA is filed under the name Hevea brasiliensis (rubber tree). Lineage: Eukaryota; Viridiplantae; Streptophyta; Magnoliopsida; Malpighiales; Euphorbiaceae. The record is from RNAcentral.